UGAGGAAUAUUGGUCAAUGGACAGAAGUCUGAACCAGCCAAGUCGCGUGAAGGAAGGCGGCCCUAAGGGUUGUAAACUUCUUUUGUAAGGGAAUAAAGGCCGGUACGCGUUACCGGUUUGCAGGUACCUUACGAAUAAGGAUCGGCUAACUCCGUGCCAGCAGCCGCGGUAAUACGGAGGAUCCGAGCGUUAUCCGGAUUUAUUGGGUUUAAAGGGUGCGUAGGCGGAUUGAUAAGUCAGCGGUGAAAUUUUGCAGCUUAACUGUAAAAUUGCCGUUGAAACUGAUGGUCUUGAGGAUAGUUGAGGUAAGUGGAAUGUGUUGUGUAGCGGUGAAAUGCAUAGAUAUAACACAGAACACCGAUUGCGAAGGCAGCUUACUAGACUAUAACUGACGCUGAGGUACGAAAGCGUGGGGAUCAAACAGG
Molecule: ribosomal RNA, 425 nt
Filed under: uncultured prokaryote
Description: bacterial SSU rRNA
Rfam family: Bacterial small subunit ribosomal RNA
Source: RNAcentral